RNAcentral lists this ribosomal RNA (428 nucleotides) under uncultured bacterium. Its description in RNAcentral is "bacterial SSU rRNA". It matches the Rfam family "Bacterial small subunit ribosomal RNA", at positions 355 to 776 of the family's 1533-position model. RNAcentral also lists the same sequence under 1 other name. The record is from RNAcentral.
UAGGGAAUUUUCGUCAAUGGGCGCAAGCCUGAACGAGCAAUGCCGCGUGAGUGAGGAAGGCCUUCGGGUCGUAAAGCUCUGUUGCGAGGGAAAAAGGAACGGAAGAGGAAAUGAUUCCGUUUUGAUGGUACCUCGCCAGAAAGUCACGGCUAACUACGUGCCAGCAGCCGCGGUAAUACGUAGGUGGCAAGCGUUAUCCGGAAUGAUUGGGCGUAAAGGGUGCGCAGGCGGCAUAUCAAGUCUGAAGUGAAAGGUACGGGCUCAACCUGUACAGGCUUUGGAAACUGGUAUGCUCGAGGACAGGAGAGGGCGGUGGAACUCCACGUGUAGCGGUAAAAUGCGUAGAGAUGUGGAAGAACACCAGUGGCGAAGGCGGCCGCCUGGCCUGUAACUGACGCUCAGGCACGAAAGCGUGGGGAGCAAAUAGG